Long non-coding RNA from Hemicordylus capensis (graceful crag lizard), 1658 nucleotides. RefSeq lists it as uncharacterized. The record is from RefSeq and is a predicted model, not a curated record. The transcript has 4 exons. NCBI's taxonomy places the organism in Eukaryota, Metazoa, Chordata, Lepidosauria, Squamata, Cordylidae.
UUUAAGCCCUGUCAGCUCUGCACUGGGCAUUUAAAGACAAGGCAGUCAAUGAUGAGAGGCUGCUUCUGAGUAAGGGAGCCAGGAGUUCUCCAGGACAGGGAAUUGGCUGAGUGCAGCAAGGCAGGAGAAGGACUCAGUGAUGCCAACAAUCAGAUGGAUUAUGUAGCAUUCUGACAUCCUCCUCCUAACAUGCCUGGUUAGGUGGCAUAACCCAUGUUACUAAUCCAGGAAGGAGGAAGCAGCAGCAGGAGCCAGGACAGGCAAGGGUCCACACAGACUCAACAAUGAUAGUUGAUGUAUAUGGAAUGCCACUGAAGAAGACUCGUCAAAACGCAUCUGGCAUUUAAAACAUUUAUUCUCAUGAAGAUUUUUCUGUGAUCCCAUUUGGCAAUCUACUUGGGAAGGACAUUCAUUUCAUCUGAGAACUGGAUUUUAUUACAUCUGGUGGAGCUUUGACAUUCAGCUGAGGAAAGGGACCCAUGAAGAGAGAAGAGAAGAGAAGAGAAGAGAAGAGAAGAGAAGAGAAGAGAAGAGAAGAGAAAUGGGGUCCAUGGAGGAGAAACGUUGUUGCUGCUGCUUAUGGUGCACAUAGGAGGGGACCAACUGAAGGGGACUUUGAUGAGGGCCCUUUCAAACCAGGCAUCCUGCUGAUGGCAUCAGGGGAGCACCUAGAUAAUUUUGGUGCCUGAUCCUCCCCCACCACAAGGCCCCUGCCACGAACCACCAGCACCAUGAGCCCCCCCCCCGAAACCUACUUUUGGGGGUCUCCUGCAGCCACCCUGCACCUGCCCCACUGAACCUCCAUCCACCUACCCAUGAUUUCAGCUGCCAUGUGCGUGGCCAAGGGGUGGUGGCCAGGGGGUGAGCCAAGCAGUCCUCCUCCCCCCCCCACCAUGGUGCCCAGCGUGACCCCUGGGUCUGUCUGCCCAGCCCAUUGGCUCUUGAUAACUGCGAGGCACUCCAGCGCACCUGAGCAGUUGAAAUAGAUUGCUACAAGCCCUUGACAGCAGGGUGGCUGCAGGAAGCCCCCCAAAGAAGGCUUUGGUGGGGCUCACAGUGGGGGCAAGGGCCUUGCAGCAAGGCUGGUCCGGGCACCAAAAUUACUUAGUGCGCCAGAUUUUUCCUUGGGUCACCUGCAACCUUGCUAUGCUACUGGUUAGGACUAGACCAAGGCCAUUGGUGUGCAUAUCUGGAUUAUCUUAGAUCAGUGACAUGAACUUGAAGAGCUGGAGUGAAUUAAAAGAAUUCACUCUUCUGUUGCUAGGCAAAGGCAGAAGGCCAAGCCCCUGUUAUUUAAUAUUUAUACUAUGCCUCAUCAGUGAGGUUCCCCACAGCUUUGCAACUAUCAGGGCUUACAUAUGUAAACUACUACUAUGAUGAAUAUUUACAGUAUAUACUGCUUUUCAAUGGGUGGGGGAGGUCAUGAGGUCCAUGUUGGGAAUUUGCCACAAGUAUUUCCACAGUUCUUUAUAUGGGGCAUGCUUUUCUAUGUGAAUGUCUCUCUGUACUGGCUUGGGUGGAGUCAGGGUUUGUUUGUCUGCUCCUUACUUGUUGCCUUGAAUUCAAACUGAGAAGUUCUCCCUCUCUAUUUUGUUUGGUUUUGUUUUCUUAGCCUAUGUUUAGAUAGUAAUAAAUAUCAAACUUGUUUCCCAGUUAAA